RNAcentral lists this transfer RNA (84 nucleotides) under bacterium. Its description in RNAcentral is "tRNA-Leu". It matches the Rfam family "tRNA". Rfam says of the family: Transfer RNA (tRNA) molecules are approximately 80 nucleotides in length. The record is from RNAcentral. RNAcentral also lists the same sequence under 3 other names.
GCAGGAGUGGCGGAAUUGGCAGACGCGCACGGUUCAGGUCCGUGUGGUGGUAACACCUUGAGGGUUCAAGUCCCUUCUCCUGCA